CCUACGGGGGGCAGCAGUGAGGAAUAUUGGUCAAUGGGCGCGAGCCUGAACCAGCCAAGUAGCGUGAAGGAUGACUGCCCUACGGGUUGUAAACUUCUUUUAUAAAGGAAUAAAGUGAGACACGUGUGCCUUUUUGUAUGUACUUUAUGAAUAAGGAUCGGCUAACUCCGUGCCAGCAGCCGCGGUAAUACGGAGGAUCCGAGCGUUAUCCGGAUUUAUUGGGUUUAAAGGGAGCGUAGAUGGGUUGUUAAGUCAGUUGUGAAAGUUUGCGGCUCAACCGUAAAAUUGCAAUUGAUACUGGCAGUCGUGAGUACAGUUGAGGUAGGCGGAAUUCGUGGUGUAGCGGUGAAAUGCUUAGAUAUCGCGCAGAACCCCGAUUGCGAAGGCAGCGUACCGGCUCCACACUGACGCUGAGGCACGAAAGCGUGGGUAUCGAACAGGAUUAGAUACCCUUGUAGUC
RNAcentral lists this ribosomal RNA (460 nucleotides) under uncultured bacterium. Its description in RNAcentral is "partial 16S ribosomal RNA". It matches the Rfam family "Bacterial small subunit ribosomal RNA", at positions 338 to 795 of the family's 1533-position model. The record is from RNAcentral.